Molecule: ribosomal RNA, 254 nt
Filed under: uncultured bacterium
Lineage: Bacteria
Description: partial 16S ribosomal RNA
Rfam family: Bacterial small subunit ribosomal RNA
Source: RNAcentral
UACGUAGGGUGCGAGCGUUGUCCGGAAUUAUUGGGCGUAAAGAGCUCGUAGGCGGUUUGUCGCGUCGGCCGUGAAAACUUGGGGCUUAACCCUGAGCGUGCGGUCGAUACGGGCAUCACUUGAGUUCGGCAGGGGAGACUGGAAUUCCUGGUGUAGCGGUGAAAUGCGCAGAUAUCAGGGGGAACACCGGUGGCGAAGGCGGGUCUCUGGGCCGAUACUGACGCUGAGGAGCGAUAGCGUGGGGAGCGAACAGG